Bombus terrestris (buff-tailed bumblebee) is the source of this 916-nucleotide long non-coding RNA. RefSeq lists it as uncharacterized. The transcript is spliced from 4 exons. The record is from RefSeq and is a predicted model, not a curated record. NCBI's taxonomy places the organism in Eukaryota, Metazoa, Arthropoda, Insecta, Hymenoptera, Apidae.
CAUGGUGUAAUUAAGGGAAGAGAAGAGAAGAGGUGGUGUAACGUUUAGGGUGUCCUCUGGUCUUGUGUGCUGAUAAGAUACAAAAUGGAUGUCAUUGGGUGGACGAAGAAAUUGUUCUACGCUGAGCGCAGACUCGCGGAAAAUCCAUUGCUACCAUUUUACUUCGGACGAGACCAGGCAUAGUGGAAAUUUUGAUGGAACGUCUAGCAACGUUUUAGUUGCGUAUUGGAAACUAUUAUCAAAGGGCCGAUGUUUUUCGUUUCAUUACUGCAAUUACUACCAAUCUGUUCCCCACAUUCGACUUCGGGAAGACACAAAGUUAUUUUCAUUAUUGCCAGUAUCAUAGUCGAUCUUCGCUCGACCCGAAUACGACCGAACUUUUUCGUGAUAUUUUUCAAGAUAAUGUAGGAGUUCAUCUUUCGUGGCGCUGUAAGUCUCCGAACAAUGGCUGGCCAUGUUUGCAGAAUGUAACCGUGAAACGAUGCAAUAGCAGAGUACUUGAAAAUUCGCAAAAUAUAAUAAAACCAUCUUCCGAUCAUAAUCUUCCAAGUGGAGGAAUGAUAAAACGAGUUUCCAGCCGAAAAGAAACAUUCGCAACACCCUACGUGACUGUAUUUAAUGAGCCGUUUUCGAGUCUGUUCAAGAAAACGACAAUAUUCGGUAGAUGCGUAAGCAUGAGGGCAAACCGGCUAUAACUCCAAUCAAGGACUCACUCGGCUCGGUCCACAUUCCACGUCUAGUCCACCGAUCCCUAAACUCGUCGGCACGUUCGACGUUAUGGUCCAUCUUCGUCCUGGCUUCAUUAUUUCACAGUUUUCGAUUAUUCUACUCUGAAUAUUGUAAUCUGAUUCUUAAAAUGUCAAUUUAUUUGAAGAAGAGUAAUAGAAGCCAUUAAAAGUUGAAACUUUUAAUUGAA